This 489-nucleotide ribosomal RNA is filed under the name uncultured bacterium. Its description in RNAcentral is "bacterial SSU rRNA". It matches the Rfam family "Bacterial small subunit ribosomal RNA", at positions 30 to 504 of the family's 1533-position model. The record is from RNAcentral.
CGAACGCUGGCGGCGUGGAUUAGGCAUGCAAGUCGAACGCGAAAGUUAUCCUUCGGGGUAGCGAGUAGAGUGGCGGACGGGUGAGUAACGCGUAGGUGAUCUACCUUUAAGUGGGGGAUAGCCCCGGGAAACCGGGAUUAAUACCGCAUGUGAUCUUUCGGGAUUAAAGACGGCCUCUGUUUACAAGCUGUCGCUUAGAGAUGAGCCUGCGUCCUAUUAGCUAGUUGGUAAGGUAAUGGCUUACCAAGGCGGUGAUAGGUAGGCGGCCUUAACGGGUGGUCGCCCACACUGGGAUUGAGAUACGGCCCAGACUCCUACGGGAGGCAGCAGUCGAGAAUAGUCUACAAUGGACGAAAGUCUGAUAGUGCGACGCCGCGUGAACGAAGACUCCUUUCGGGGUGUAAAGUUCUUUUCUAUGUGAGCAAUGCUUGUUUUGUUAACAGCUUAAUGAGAGAGAUAUUAGCAUAGGAAUAAGCUCCGGCUAACUCC